This 1089-nucleotide ribosomal RNA is filed under the name Merluccius polli (Benguela hake). RNAcentral's name for it is "partial 16S ribosomal RNA". It matches the Rfam family "Bacterial large subunit ribosomal RNA", at positions 792 to 2519 of the family's 2925-position model. Lineage: Eukaryota; Metazoa; Chordata; Actinopteri; Gadiformes; Merlucciidae. The record is from RNAcentral.
CAAAAGAGUGGGGAGAGCUUUGAGUAGAGGUGAUAAACCUACCGAGCCCAGUUAUAGCUGGUUGCCUGAGAAAUGAAUAGAAGUUCAGCCCUUUAAGUCUUUCCCCGCCCACAACGCAUGCCUAAAUAGGCCAAGGAAACUAAAGGAGUUAAUCAGAAGGGGUACAGCCCUUCUGAUAAAAGAAACAACUUUAACAGGUGACCCAAGAUCAUAUUAACCAAGGAUUCUAAAUUAAGUGGGCCUAAGAGCAGCCAUCUUAACAGAAAGCGUUAAAGCUCAAAUUAUACACCAUCCGCAUAUACUGAUAUUUCAUCUCCCUCCCUGCUUUCUACCAGGCUGUCCUAUGCUCCCAUAGGAACAAUUAUGCUAAAAUGAGUAAUAAGAAGAAUAUCGUUCUUCUCCAAGCACGCGUGUAAGUCGGAGCGGACCUCCCACCGACCAUUAACCGACCCCAAACCCAGAGGGACAUAAGUCGUUCCAACAAGAAAACCACUUAUUUUAAACCGUUAGCCCUACACAGGCGUGCCCCAAGGAAAGACUAAAAGAGAAGGAAGGAACUCGGCAAACACAAGCCUCGCCUGUUUACCAAAAACAUCGCCUCUUGUCCCUCAAAAUAUAAGAGGUCCCGCCUGCCCUGUGACUAUAUGUUUAACGGCCGCGGUAUCUUAACCGUGCGAAGGUAGCGUAAUCACUUGUCUUUUAAAUGAAGACCUGUAUGAAUGGCAUCACGAGGGCUUAACUGUCUCCCCUCUCCAGUCAAUGAAAUUGACCUCCCCGUGCAGAGGCGGGGAUAUCUUUAUAAGACGAGAAGACCCUGUGGAGCUUUAGACCUAAAAUAAACCACGUUUAAUGUACUAGUAUUAAUAGCAAAAACUUAGUGGACAAUUAUUAAAGUGUCUUUGGUUGGGGCGACCGCGGAGUAAAACACAACCUCCAUGUGGACGGGGAUACUAUCCCCAAAACUCAGAGCCUCCACUCCAAGCAACAGAAAUUCUGACCUAGCUGAUCCGGUAUACCGAUUAACGAACCCAGUUACCCCAGGGAUAACAGCGCAAUCCCCUCUCAGAGCUCAUAUCGACGAGGGGGUUU